GACCGCCCGGGGUGGGCUGGAGCGGCGCGGCGCGGGGGAGCCGGGGCUCCGCUGCGCCUCCGCCCGCUGGGCGCGGAGCUUUGGGUGGGGAGAGUUUAUUUUUGUCUCGAUCUGCUGCCGCGGCUGCUCCCGGCCUAAAUCCAGAGGGGCGCCUGGCGGUGGAGAUGCUGGCUGUUGCUGUAGAUGGAGCUGCAGCCACUCGGCUGCUUCUCCGGGAGGAGGAGGAGGAGGAGGAGGAGGAGGAAGGAACUGAGGCUGCCGCUGCCUCCGCCUCUGCUUUGCAUUAGCCCCCACCCCCACCCCCGCGCCCCCCGCAGCCGCAUUGCAAGUUUUCUGCGCGGGAUUUGUUGCUGGCGCUGGCGUUCUCGGCACAGCCCCUGAGGCCACCCCGGGUUGGGGGUGUGGGGAGUAUCAGCCGUUCGCGGCGGCAGCAACAGGAAGCCGUGGGGUCUCCUCCAGCACCUGGGAAGGAGACUUCUUGCCAUUCCCAGAACAGGAAUAGCUCCUCUCCGGCAUCCAGUGGUGAUCGCCCUCGGGAAUGCGGGUGUGAAGGAAGAGACCCGGGCCGCCGGAAAUCACCAUCCCGAAGCCGAGAAGGGGGAAGAGCAUUCUCGAUUCAGUUUGUGUGGCUUCUGGGGAGUUUUAAAAAAAUCGUUAUUUUUUAAGAAAGAAACAUUUCCGCGCUACUGUCUGUCAUCGCCUCUGGGGAAAUCAGCCAGAACCGCGGGACCGUAACUGAACGGACGGCAGGGGCAGGAGCCGAGGCCGAACCUGCAGCGCGCGGCGCCGGGCCGCCUGGGGCUGCGGCGCCGCCGAACUUUGGGGCGGGCGGGCCAGGCCGGGCGCGAGGGGCUCCGUAGACCGAGGGCCGCCCCCUAACCAUGAUGUUUCGCGACCAGGUCGGGGUGCUGGCGGGCUGGUUUAAGGGCUGGAACGAGUGCGAGCAGACCGUGGCGCUGCUGUCGCUGCUCAAGCGCGUGAGCCAGACCCAGGCCCGCUUCCUCCAGCUCUGCCUGGAGCACUCGCUGGCCGACUGCGCCGAGCUGCACGUCCUCGAGGGCGAGGCCAACAGCCCCGGAAUCAUUAACCAAUGGCAACAGGAAUCCAAGGAUAAAGUGAUUUCCCUCCUGUUAACUCACCUGCCUUUGCUGAAGCCAGGAAACCUCGACGCUAAAGUAGAGUAUAUGAAACUGCUGCCCAAAAUCCUGGCGCACUCUAUUGAGCACAACCAGCACAUUGAGGAGAGCAGGCAGCUGCUGUCCUAUGCUCUGAUCCACCCGGCCACGUCUCUGGAAGACCGCGGUGCUUUAGCCAUGUGGCUGAAUCACUUGGAGGACCGCACGUCGACCAGCUUUGGCGGCCAGAGCCGAGGCCGCUCAGACUCUGUGGAUUAUGGGCAGACACACUACUAUCACCAAAGACAGAACUCCGACGACAAGCUCAAUGGGUGGCAGAACUCUCGAGAUUCUGGGAUUUGCAUCAACGCCUCCAACUGGCAGGACAAAAGCCUGGGAUGUGAGAAUGGCCAUGUGCCUCUCUAUUCCUCCUCAUCCGUCCCCACCACAAUCAACACCAUUGGAACCAGCACCAGUACAAUUCUCUCAGGCCAGGCACACCACAGCCCUUUGAAACGAUCUGUUUCCCUUACCCCACCCAUGAAUGUGCCAAACCAGCCUCUAGGACAUGGAUGGAUGUCUCAUGAGGACUUACGAGCUAGAGGACCCCAGUGCCUCCCAUCCGAUCAUGCCCCCCUGUCUCCACAAAGCAGUGUAGCCUCUUCAGGAAGUGGUGGGAGUGAACACUUAGAAGAUCAGACCACUGCUCGUAACACAUUCCAAGAAGAAGGUAGUGGUAUGAAAGAUGUUCCAGCCUGGUUAAAAAGCCUCCGCCUGCACAAGUACGCUGCCCUUUUCUCCCAGAUGACCUAUGAGGAAAUGAUGGCCCUCACUGAGUGCCAGCUGGAGGCUCAGAAUGUUACCAAAGGUGCAAGACACAAAAUUGUCAUCAGUAUUCAGAAGCUCAAAGAAAGACAAAACCUCCUGAAGUCUUUGGAAAGGGACAUCAUCGAGGGGGGCAACCUGCGCAUCCCGCUCCAGGAACUGCACCAGAUGAUCCUGACUCCCAUCAAGGCCUACAGCUCCCCGAGUGCCACCCCCGAGGCACGCCGCCGGGAGACCCGGGCCUCGCUCAUGGGCCCCGAGAGCCAGAGCCCCGACUGCAAAGACAGUGCCGUGGCCACUGGCGCCACCGCCACCACCUCAGCUGGGGCCAGCGGCGGGCUCCAGCCACACCCGCUGAGCAGCUGUGAGGGGGAGCUGGCCGUCGCCCCCCUGCCGGAGGGGGAUCUCCCCGGGCAGUUCACACGUGUCAUGGGGAAAGUGUGCACACAGCUCUUGGUCUCCAGACCUGAUGAGGAGAAUAUAAGUUCUUAUUUACAGCUCAUAGACAAAUGUCUAAUUCAUGAGGCAUUUACAGAGACACAGAAAAAAAGGUUGUUGUCAUGGAAACAGCAGGUGCAGAAGCUCUUCCGGUCUUUCCCUCGGAAAACCCUUCUAGACAUAUCAGGAUAUCGACAGCAGAGAAACCGCGGCUUCGGACAGUCCAACUCCCUCCCGACGGCCGGCUCUGUGGGUGGCGGCAUGGGCAGACGGAACCCACGCCAGUACCAGAUCCCCUCGCGGAGCAUGCCUUCCGCCCGCAUCGGCCUCCUGGGCACCAGCGGAUUCGUCAGCUCCACCCCGCGCAGCACCGCAGCCAACCCCACCAUCAUGAAGCAAGGAAGACAGAACCUCUGGUUUGCCAACCCCGGGGGCAGCAACAGCAUGCCAAGCCGCAGCCACAGCUCAGUGCAGAGGACCCGCUCACUGCCUGUGCACACUUCUCCGCAGAGCAUGCUGAUGUUCCAGCAGCCAGAAUUCCAGCUUCCCGUGACUGAACCUGACAUCAACAACAGGCUGGAGUCCUUGUGCCUCAGUAUGACCGAGCAUGCCCUGGGAGAUGGCUCCCUCGGGCCUGGAGCCUGGUGGCUGGUGUGGGCACAGCAGCCCGCGGGCACCUCCCUCCAGGUUGGACUCACCGCCGGCCCUGGGAAGUUUGGCUGAUGGAGGAGAGAGGUCCAUCCCUUCCUGCCAACCUCCAGGAGGCUGAGUCCCGGGCACCCAGAGAGGCCUCCUGUGCCCCAUCCCGGGAGCCGGCAGCCAUCUCCAGGCUGGGCACGCUCACCCUCCAGAGAGGCCCCCACACCCCUGGAGCUCUGGCCGCCUGGGGGAACGGCCGCCCACUGCUGCUCCAGAGAGCUCUGUCCUCCUGACCAGGGACUUGUAGGUUUUUAGUCUCUGAAACACAGUCUUAUCCUGAAAGCAAAUAUGAGACAGGUCAAUGCUCUUCAUGGAGCAGAGUGGAGAGCCAGGGCGGUACCCGCUGACCUCACGUGCAGCAUUCUCCACACCUCGGUACAGAAGGGAGCGAGCCAGGGCGUCCUGGGCCUGCUGACCAAAUGGUGGCAGGAGCGCCCAGCUCCUUCCAUGACCUCCCUGGGGUUCCAGGAACCCCAUUUGCAAACACUGCCCUUUCCUUUGGCCACUCAGAUCCUAAAAGCUUCGCAGCAUCAUUGCGCCAUCCUUAGUACUCCGGGGCCAGGUGCUACCAGCUGCUCUUCUCCAGCUAACUGAGGAGAUUGGGUCAGCACACCCAUAACCUGAUGCAUAAUGGGAAACAACCCAAAGAUCCAUCUACGGAUGAACAAAACGUACUAUAGCUGUGCACUGGAAUUUCAGUCAGCCUUAAAAAGGAAGGAAAUACUGACGCGUGCUACAAGACGGAUGAACCUUGAAAACAUUAUAACGGGGUUGACCGGACCUCCACAAUCUAGAAGCUGAAGAUGCGAGCGACUGCGCUGGCCGUGAAAUCGACUGCUGUGGGCCCAGUGCCAGCUGUCUGCGGGGCUGCACGGAGUCCUCCAGAUACUUCGCAGCCUUUUCCCUGGUCCCUCUCCCAUUUUGAUUUUGUGAGAGCGUAGGUCGUCCUUGUAAACAUAUCAGUAGACCUGGGCUUGGUUAUUUUGUCAUUUGUUUCUGUUGUGGGAUGGCUUGGUGUGGGGUGGGGUGGGGUCUCUAAGGAAACCUGAGACUGGGAGGGGGUGGAGGGGAUACAGGUGGCUUCCUGGAUGGAAAGAGGCAAAAACAGACUACUACCGUGAACGAGGAGAGAGAGACACAGCAGAGAAGCAGAGCCCAGCCCUGGAGCCUUCUAGACCGCUCCACCUGCAGUCAGGCCCCAGGAGGAAGUCAUGGAUACGUGCGACCAAAGCAAGAUGGCGGCUCCCCUCUUCUGCCCCCCAGUUGGGUUUCCUAGAGGCCCCUGCCUGGAGCCGAGCGCACGAGAGGCCAUGUGGCAACAGGGGAGAGGGGAGAAAGUCCCUCUGACACAAUUUCGGAUAAACUUUGAUUUGUGUAUUGUUUACAAAACAAUUUUAAAGGGUACAUAAUGUCUAAAGAGUUUGGAUAGAACUUCUCUUCCUACUAUGGUUUUUGUAAAGGAUUUGUUGAUAUGGAUUCUUUUUUUCUUCUAUUUUUCUACUAGCAGCAGGGUUGUCUUUCCAAAUGGCUGCCAAGCUCUGCUUCCCGGGGAGACGCAGGCCGACCGGCGUUCACCUCGGGGGGGCGGAGCGUGCAGGUGGACUUGAAGGACAAGGAUGUGGCUGGACGGGCAGAGCACUGGUGAGGGCACAAGGAGACAGCACCGUGUAGUCAGUUAGGGGUUUGCUCUCUGGUCACCUAGAGAUCCUAAGAGAAUGCCGCAGCCCCUUUCUGUGCUGGAUGUGCUUCUCACCCAGAGGCCUCCCCUCCUCCUCGCCUACCAUGGGCUUCAUCCCAGCCGCCACAGCCUCGCCCCCACGCACAGCUGGGAUAAGGACCGCAGGAGGAGAAAGGCAAGGACCCACGUUUUUCCCUUGCAAGAGGCCUUAAUACCCUUCAGAGAAGGAGCUCAAAACACGCAGUGCAGUUGCUGUGGGAACCUGAGCCUGGGGGCUGUACCCCCUUGGCUGGCUCCCUGCCGAGGACGAGGAGGAGAGCAGGGCCCAGCAAUGGUGUAUAAACACAUCAGCAAGUGGCAGAGAGAGCUGCGAGGAGAUGCGCGGCCCAGGUGGGCAGCGAAAGAAGAUGUGUGAAGGGUCAAGUUCAGGAUGGAAAGGACGGUUCUGUCCACAUGGUAUUGUCGGGGAUUGGCUGUGGUGUUGGCUGAUCCAUCCAUCCACACGGAAGGGAUGUAACCCUAGUUACAUAGUGAGAGAUUCACAGACUUCGCUACCACAAAGUAACAGCUCUGUUUCUUAAGGGCAAGAAAGAUUAUGUUUCAGAAUUAGACACAAUGGAGGGUUUAGAGGAAAUCAAAGAGGAGUUGUGCUCUGCACUGGAGAAUUGGGUUGCGUGAAUGCUCUGUCAGAGGUGAGAGCAGGGAGAUGGUAUAAGGUCUGUUUAUUAAAUGGGUGAAUCUAGUGCCAUUUUUUUGUUUAGUGAAGACAGAGUCGAAAUUGAAGAGAUCAGACCAUGAAAAUCACCGCACACUUAUUUUUUUUUGUUUUAUGAAGUAAAUACAGAUUUAAAAGGCCUUAAUGAAAUCCAAGCAACUUUCUUUUACCUUGAAGAUUAAAAAUGUACACCCAACGCAGCACUGGACAUUGUAACAAGGCUUUUGAAGUUUCUUUAAGGUCUAAAAAGGUGGGUGCGUCUCACUGCAGAGAGCCGUUAGCAAGCAGGGAAGACUGGAGCCUGCGGUGCCAGGCAUCGCAUAAAGAGGCCUCUCUGGGCGCCUGCAUUCUAAAGAUGCAAAUCCACGUGCAGAAGGAGGCAACAGUUCUUAGUUGGUUUUUUUUUAACCAAGUGCCAUUAACAUUCACUGUCCACACCCUUUCUCUAAACCAGCUGAGUGUUACUUGGGGAAUGUGUUGGGAUGGACGAUCACCUAUGAGGCGGGAAGAACGGGACAAAGAGGUUGAAGGGCAAAGGUAAGAGCAGAGGGUUUGCGAAGGUGUUUUUUGGAUGCUGAGAAAGUUAAUAGAAGAAAAAGCAAUGGUGUUACAUAUCUCACAGAGAGAUGAGAACGCAUUCAGAUCUGCUGCAAAAUAGAUAUGUCCACAAAGACUCGGGCUGUUCAAAACAGAUUGUGAACACAAUCACGUUAGCAUGAAUCCUUUAAAAGGACGAAUACCUUAAAGUAUUUGCAAAUCUGAAUUUCUAUUUAUUCCUUCAUUGAAUAUAGAAACAAUGGUUAUCUGAUUAUUAGAGAGAUUAUUUUGGAUAUGUUACUUAUUAACUUGCUAUGGCUGGUAACCAUGAUAAAGUCUGUUAUUAAUAACAACAUAAUUCUUUUUUUAAAACAAAAGAAAAGCUUAUUUUUCAUUGACCGUGUAUAGAUUUAUCUACUUAGUUGUGUUUUGCUCUCAGUGCUUUAAGUUUUUUUAAGUUGAGUGUUCUGAUAAAUUUUAGGAGCUUGUCCCCACCUUGUUUUGAGUCCUGUGUUGACUGCAGGUAUACAGCUCAAUUGAAAAAUCCUAAAGCAAAAGAACUUUCUUUAUGAAAGAAUCAAACAGUUGCAUGCGUGAGGCUGUGCGGUCGGGUAGUUAGAAAUAGAGCAGCAGUGCCUUUUUUUGUAUUUGCCCAUCGACCCCAGAUGCAGCUGUUUUAUAUUAAGUAACUAGUAAACGUUAAAGAUCUCAGAGUACAAUAUAUUUCACUACAUGUGUUUUCCCACUUGUUCUGAUUUAAGCCGUGUGUAUCUGGCACCUCUACCCCGUCCCAGGGACAGAGUGCUCUACGAUAUUGUUAUCAUGUCUGAUGUUUUAUUGGUGCUUUUUAUUCAUAGUGGUUUCUUACCGGAAACAGUAGGAAGACACACAUGAACUGUGUGCAAGAAAUGAAACAUUGCUGCUGAUAAGAUUUUUUUUCCACAUGCUUUUUAAGUUUCACUUUUUAAACAAGGGCCAGCAAGCAAAAUAGAUGCUGCUGGGUCUGCCUGCAGAGGGCGGCCGUGGCAGCAAGCUCUCGAAUCCCAUGCAGCCCUGCUCCCUUUUUGGUACUCAGGAUUGGAGCUACAGCUGGGCCCCUCUCCCAUUCGUUUGAAGAGACACUGAGGGAAACGACGUUUCCUUUUGAGGUGUCGUUGGCUGCCUUUUACGGAACGGGAGCCUUCGCCGGGUCCUUGUUGUCCUGCACCUCUUGCAGCUACUGCCCGGGCAGGGUAUGUAGAUGCCCAUUCCCCCACCAGACCCAGAUUUCACCGCGAGCGGGGCUGCGGCCCUGCGCUGGGCUGAAUGCCUGGGCAUGCAAGCAGAAGGGCAGCAAGGGGCGGAGAAGCCGGCGCCCGCCUCACUCGCCUUCUGGAGUUGUCUGCAGCAGGCGGCUCCAGCCUGGGUACAGGGAAGCAGCCUGACCCAGGCGCUUGGCUGUGCCUGCGACAGGAAGGACCUGCGGAAGGAUAAUUUGCACAUGGGGCUGUGAUAACACUAAUAAUGUUGGGUUUUUUUAUUUUACAAGUCAUCAGAGAUGUUUGCAAAGUGAGUUUUAUUUUUUUGUAAUUCCUUUAUCUUUCCUUAAAGGUGAAUGUGUAUUCCUCUGGGAGGAAUAGGAAGAAAACAGAAAUGUUAAUAAUGUCAAACAGAAGACUUCCUCCCUUAUUAAUAUAUAACCCUCAUGUAUUUAUGCCUACUGUAAGCUGACUUUUAAAAAGCUUCCUUUUGUUGCAUGCCCCGUGCAGGCACCCCUACGUACAUGCAUGCCUUUCGUCCUGUUUCCUGUAUAAAGUUAGUGAACAGAGAGCUAUUUUUGCCUAGUUCAUGUUGCCAAGCAAUGCAUAUUUUUUAAAUUUGUCAUAAUAUGGAAAUAGCAUGUUUGUUACAUGUAAAAGCUUUCCUGAUAUACGGAUACGCUAAUGUUUGAAGAUGCUCUUCUUUGCAAGUGUACAGUUUUCAAAUGUUGUUACCAGUGAAACACCCUUGUGGUUUAAACUUGCUACAGUGUAUUUAUUACUCAUUUCCUCCCAUGUAACUAAAUCAUGGCUAUAUUUCAUAUCAACGUUAUAUUGAAAGUGAAGGGAAAUGAUUAAUACAAGGUUUUGUAACAC
This is an RNA transcript of Equus quagga, 8121 nucleotides long. It is a transcript of the gene named sterile alpha motif domain containing 4A, with no coding region annotated. The record is from RefSeq and is a predicted model, not a curated record. The transcript has 14 exons. NCBI's taxonomy places the organism in Eukaryota, Metazoa, Chordata, Mammalia, Perissodactyla, Equidae.